Molecule: long non-coding RNA, 151 nt
Organism: Zea mays
Lineage: Eukaryota; Viridiplantae; Streptophyta; Magnoliopsida; Poales; Poaceae
Exons: 3
Source: RefSeq, a predicted model, not a curated record
CAAAUUCUUGCAUAUUCCUGUUCUUGAUGGAGAUGGGCGGGUUGCUGCUUGUUUGGACGUUCUGCAACUUACCCAUGCUGCAAUUUCAAUGGUUGAAGGAGGUCCUGGUGCUGCAACUGAUGUGGCAAACACGAUAAUGCAGAAAUUCUGG